Long non-coding RNA from Carassius auratus (goldfish), 2511 nucleotides. The record is from Ensembl. Lineage: Eukaryota; Metazoa; Chordata; Actinopteri; Cypriniformes; Cyprinidae.
UACUUCUUUGGCUUUAGGAAAACUGGAUAAGUAAAAUAACACUUCCUUAUUUUCUUUGCCUCUUCUUCACUAAAUUCUUGAAGAACAUACUUUCUUUUCAGUUGACUGGGGAAGUACAGUUUGGAUAAUACAUUUCUGAAAAACUUAUUUGUUAAUUGUUUGCUCUUUAAAUUUUUACCUUCAGUACAUGAUGGAUAGCAUAGGUGUAAAAUAAUGUAGUAAAUAAUGAAAGGACACGAUUGUUUUGUAUGUGUAUGCCUUUAGCAUUUGUUAUAUAAUGUUAAAAAGGUCAUAUGAGGUGGUUGUUUUCAUAUUUAAUUUUUCAUUCACUUCCAGGGAUAGGAUUGGCAUGGAAGAUGCAGCACUCUUUACAUUUUAAAUAUCAAAUGUAUAUCAAGUGUUAUCCAUCCUUGAUAACACCUCCACAAAUAGAGACUGGAACUUCUGAGCACCAUCACCUUGUCUGCUUUGGGACUGUCAUAGCCCAGCAAUCAGAUGCAUCAGAACAACAAAUCACAACUGUGGUGGAACAGGCACCUUCAGCAACAAAGAUUUAACAACACUGUCAGUCAGGAGCAUAUUUAACAGGAGCCACACUCAACUGGCUUGAUGGUGACUUCAGUAAGUGUGGUUGACCCUCUUGUUUUUGUGGCUAUAAUAAUUAGGCUAAGUAAUCUCACUCUCUUCCAUUUCCCUAACAUGAAACUUUUGACUGAAACAUGAAAAUGGUACUUAACCGGUGCAGUGAAGAUAUUUAAAGAAACACUAUCACUAUCUAAAGUACAGAAAGCCUUACAUCAUCUCUAGGUGCAGUCACCUACAGCGCAGCCAGCUUCACAAAGACUGUGGGGCUGGUCACCAGGAAAAUGGACAACAGGGAGUGCUUUUGGGGUUUUACUCCUCAAAUGAUCACCCUGGCUACUGUAGCUGGGAUUGCUUCACAGACGAUGGAGGUCUUGAAGAGUAAAGUGUGCGUGCGUGCGCACACAUUGUGUUUUUACUGUAACAAUUAUGGUCACUUGCAGUUAAUUUGUUUUUAGUGUAGUGUAAGAUGUGUUAAUUAUUAUUAUUAUUACUCAAAAACCAUUAAAACUUCUAAAUUGUGGAAGUUAUUCUUCAUUAUGUUACUGUGGUUAUUUUGUAUAUGUUAUUAUUUCGAUUAAAAUACAAAAUUCAACACACAAAUUCUGGUUGAGGUAUUAUUUUAAUAAUUUAUUUAAUAUUUCAUUAUUUUUUCACUGCUAAAUAUUACAAACAUAGGGUUAACUUUCUAAAAUGUAUGGAAUGUUACAUUGUCAGUUGUACAUUGGUAAAACAAACAUGAACAAAAGGCAGAAGCCCUAAAAAUAUGGAUUGUGGAUGUCGGUAGUGCAAAUUGCUGAGGGGAAAUAAAAAAAAAAUUGCUGUCGUGUCAUAAACCGUGAAAGAUUAGUAUAUUAUUAUUUUUAUUAUUUCUACUAGGUAAAAGUAACAACGAUAAAAGUACAGAACAUAUGAACAUUACGUACAAAGAGGUGACAUAACUUGCAAAGCACCCCUUAUACAUUUAUAUAACAAGUAAUAAUAUAAAACGAAAGUUUGGUGGAGUUGACGUAUUUUCGCUCUUGAAUGGAGCUCCACUCGCCGCCAUGGAGGUGACGUAAUUCUACGGAAAGUGUUGCCCGGUCCAACAUGGCGGCCGCAUCAUUAGUGGAGGCGACGUAAUUCCACGGAAAGUAUGGCCCGGUCCAACAUGGCGGCGGCGUCGCUAGUGGAGGUGACGUAUUUCCGCUCUUGAGUGGAGCUCCACUCGCCCAUAUGUCUGCAGCCAGACCCUCUUGCAGGAGGGCAGCGCGUGCUCAGCUGCUGUCGAAUCACAACACAGGAACCGCUGGCCCAAUCAGAACUCGUUACGUAUUUCUGAAGGAGGGACUUUAUAGAACAAGGAAGACAUCAGCCUGUUUUUAUGACAGUGAAAACAGCAGUACAAAGAUAGGUGAAUUGUGUGAAAAAUAUUGUGUUUUUUUUUUACACGCGAAACAUGAACACAUGUUAUUUUGCACACUGUAAACACAAUCAAAGCUUCAAAAAAGCAUGAAAACGUGACCUUUAAUACAGUAGUAGCCUAUAUGUUUAUUAUUAAUAAGGUGUGUCCUCCAAUGUCACUUUUUAGUAGGAUACAUUAAGACACAAUUUCACCAUAUUGUAUGAAAAUUGAAUUGUUAAGUGUUACACAGACUGUGAAACAAUGCAACUUUGCCAUAAAACCAAGAAGAAAAAUCAAAGGGAAAUCAUGCAUUUGUGGUUUCCCCCUCCGCUGAGACAGGAAAAAGAAAGUAGGCUAACCAUUACAGCUAAGCAAAACAACUGCUCCGUAUCUGCAAGAGACUAUCUCUAAGACAUCAGCAGUUAAAAUGAUGAGAAGCGAUACAGUGCUCAUUCUCUUCACUUUUCUCGUUUUUGGCAAGACAUCAAUUUGUGUCUGUGAUCGCUUAACUCUUAUUAAAGCAUUUAGGCCUAUAUCUGUCAUUU